Molecule: long non-coding RNA, 1335 nt
Filed under: Cavia porcellus (domestic guinea pig)
Lineage: Eukaryota; Metazoa; Chordata; Mammalia; Rodentia; Caviidae
Description: lncRNA (ENSCPOG00000030897.1)
Source: RNAcentral
CAGACCUGAGGUCUGAAGCCUCAAUUUUGUUUUCCUGGUGCUUGGGUUGAUGUCAGGAUGAUUUAUAAACACUCAUCCCACUAUACCAUCGAACGGCAGCUUCUGAACGGCUGGCCUAGACUCAAAAGUGAAGACGGCCUAGUGCAGAACCAGCUUGAGUCCCAUGUUUGCCCAGCCUGGCGCACGAGCUGUCAUUUGUGCCUGGAGCCCAGCAUGCCAGCUCCUGCUCAGCCCCAACCCUCAGCCCUUGUUUCGGGACCGGAGCAACCAGCCAGCCUCAAGCCUUGUCCAGCUGUCCCUGUCCUCACCCCUGGGACCUGUCAGCGUGUUAGGCUCUGUGGCACUGAGGUUCUUCCAGCGUGGUCAGGCCUAGUGUGACCACAGGGUUCUCCGACACGGAGGAGGAGGCGGCAGCGCGGAGGUCAGAGUGAUGCAACAGCCAGAGAACUUGCCACGCUCCUACCGGCUUUGAAGGGGGACAGCUGCCUGCACAGGAGAGGGGGUCUUGAUCCCCCAAGAGCUUCCAGAAGGAGCACAGUCCUGACGCCUUGAUUUAGCCUCUCUGAGACUUGCACUAGACUUAUCUACAGAGCUGUGUGACAAUAUGUUUGUGAGUUUUUAAAUUUUUCUUUUGGUUUGUGAGACAGGUGCUUGCUAUGCAGUUUAGGCUGGCCUUACACUCACUGUGUAGCCCAGGCUGGCUCAAUCCUGUGGCAAUCCUCCUGCCUCAGCUUUCCGAGUUCUCAGAUUACCGGCACCCUCCACCAUGCAUUGCAAUCUGUGUUACUUCAAGCCAUUUAAUGUGCAGUAAUCUGUUACAGCAGCCAAAAGAAACUAGCAGAGAUAAUUGAUAUCUUCAUAAUAUUGAACUUUCCAAUCUGUGAGCAUGGUAUGACUCUGCAUUUAUAUAGAUGCUCUUUAAUUCCUCUCAGUAGUAUUUUAUAGCUUUCAGUCUAGCAGGCUUGCCCAUCUUUCAUUAAAAUUAUUCCUCCGUAUCUUACAUUUCUUGAUGCAUAGCAGAUCUGUUAUUUGAAGCAGAAACCUCCCAAACCAGAAGAAAUUAGAAGGCAGUGUUCACAAUCCUGGCACAUGGCUGGAGUGGACUCUGUGCUGGAAUGAGGAAGCCCCAGCACCACCGUCUUGGAGGCCCUGCACCGUGCUCUGGGGGCUCUUCCCGGUUCUGUCUAUGAGGAACCAAGAAAGACCUCUGGGGACCUGGAGGAGGAGGGGACCCCGCAGACUUUGCUGGUCAGAGAAGGCCGUGCUUCCCCCAAAGUGCUCCAGAAAACUUGGUGGAAAAGUUGCAGCCAGGGAAAGGAGAAGGAAGCAUCAGGG